This 172-nucleotide non-coding RNA is filed under the name uncultured Paracoccus sp. Lineage: Bacteria; Pseudomonadati; Pseudomonadota; Alphaproteobacteria; Rhodobacterales; Paracoccaceae. The record is from RNAcentral.
CAAUGGUUCCUGCGGCGACGCAGGCUAAGAGGGAAUGCGCCAACCAAGCGCAGCCGCCCCCGCGACCGUGACCGGAGAGCUUCGCACGCCACUGGGGGACACCCUGGGAAGGCCGCAAAAGCGAAGGGGCCAAGGCCCCGAGAUCCGCAAGCCGGGAAACCUGCCUUGCCAG